UACGUAGGGCGCAAGCGUUAUCCGGAAUUAUUGGGCGUAAAGAGCUCGUAGGCGGUUUGUCGCGUCUGCCGUGAAAGUCCGGGGCUUAACCCCGGGUCUGCAUUCGAUACGGGCUAGCUAGAGUGUGGUAGGGGAGAUCGGAAUUCCUGGUGUAGCGGUGAAAUGCGCAGAUAUCAGGAGGAACACCGGUGGCGAAGGCGGAUCUCUGGGCCAUUACUGACGCUGAGGAGCGAAAGCGUGGGGAGCGAACAGG
Molecule: ribosomal RNA, 253 nt
Filed under: uncultured bacterium
Lineage: Bacteria
Description: partial 16S ribosomal RNA
Rfam family: Bacterial small subunit ribosomal RNA
Source: RNAcentral